Gambusia affinis (western mosquitofish) is the source of this 3249-nucleotide long non-coding RNA. RefSeq lists it as uncharacterized. The record is from RefSeq and is a predicted model, not a curated record. The transcript has 3 exons. NCBI's taxonomy places the organism in Eukaryota, Metazoa, Chordata, Actinopteri, Cyprinodontiformes, Poeciliidae.
CCUCACCUGGCAACCCAAGUAGACCCGCUUCAUUACAAGUUACCGCUGCAACAGCCGCAGGAAAAUGAAAAAUGUUUUGUCAGCUGCCAUACAGAAGACAUGUCCAUGAAUUUUCUCCCAGUUACGUAAAAUAGCUUCAUUUAGUUCUUGCUUGCAAUGUCUCUGAAAUAUUGCCUAAGAAAGUUGUAGUUUGCGCAAAUCAGUUAAGGAAGGAGUUAUUUGAAAACAGCCAACAUUAUACAGGAAGAUUUACCAAAAAUACUUAAGCUGAAGGAAGUUUCUGUUCGUCACAAAUCUGCAGAUAAUGGGGAUGCCACGUGUUUGGUUCCCCCCAAAGGACCGGAGUUAAUUCUGCCCCUGACAGCCAGCGCAGUGUACUAAGCCAUUUCUGGAUGCUGGAAAUUGAUUAGUGUGCAGAAGACUUGCCCGUGCCCGUCUCUGUCUCGCACUUUCCCUCCUCCCCUCCAGCUCUGCACAGGCCUGCCUGUCCAUCUCUGGUAUGUUGAGCCAAUCAGCCAGGCGCUCCACACACGCUUAAUGAGCUCACGAGGGACGUGACAUGACUGCAGCGACAAGCGUUCACCGCCUUCCCCAAAAAAGAGAAAUAAAAAAAAAAAUCAGCAUCCAGCUGCCAGAGUCUAAUUGUCAAGUAAGUGGGAAAUCACUGUAAUAUGGCAGACAGAGAGAGAAAAUCCAGGCACAAACUCAUGUUUUAAAUCAGCUUUUUUUUUUUUUUUGGUAAAAAUAAAUACGACUCGUUACUUCAAUCUUGAAAACGUUAUUGCGUUGUUAUAUGUAGCAUUCAGUUUCUGUCUCUUAUGUUCACAUUUUUUUCUAAUAUUUUGUAGUUUCCUUCUCUUUUUUUUUUCUUUCUACCUUGCUGAAAACCAAGUGUGGUCAUAAGAUGUUAGAUGACGACUUGUUCUUGUUGCAUUGAGACAUUUCAUUUCUUGCUGACUGAAAGUAACAAGCCUCAUGCAUGUUUUUAUUAUUGUUAUUUUAUCUCUUUAAAUUCUUUCGCCAUGUUGAAAACUAAGCACGGUUACGAAAGGCUGUCAUUAAUUUUCUACAAAUUGCUGUGUGAGUUAUUUGCAUUUUGAGGAUUUUUAAGCUACUGUUUGUUGUUGGUUUGAUAACGUCUUAUGGCCACUUGCCGUUUUAACUUUGGGAUCUGAUUUCAUUGAAAGAUCCCAGGACAGUUCUUCCAGUUCUUUUAUCAACUGUGUAUUUAAUUAUUUUUCUCUUUCCUUUUUCAUCACUUUUUCAGUACAUAUUGACUAAUAAUUUUUCAGAUUUUUUUUUUUUUUUAGCUAGAUCAAAACCAAGCUCAAUUUGAACCGUUUUUAUCAACACUUGCUAAUCUAACGUUGGGACAAUUGUUACUGAAAGGCAGAAGCCUCAUACAGGAUGUGGUUCCUGCUGCCUCUGUUUUAUUUCUGCCAAAGUGAUCAUAUUUUUUAAAAGGUUUUUCGGUUGCAUUUAUGAAAUGUUAGUCUCCAUGUCCAGAAUCCCUGACUUGCUUUCAAAGUUAAAGCUCCCUUUGGUUUUCCCUUGGCGCAUCCCUCAUAGCCAAGUAGCUAAUAUCCCCAUAAGCACCGAGCGAUCUCUGACCCGACGCUCGCCGGCUGAAAUGCUUAAUAUUCCUGUUUCAUUUUCUGCUAAUUCUCCUCCAGCCUCUCCCUCCCCAUUCUUUCUCUCACUCUGCUCUCGUUAGAUGCAUGUAAUUGCCUAAUUCAACAUGCAUUAGAAAUGUAGUGUUUAAGUAAUCAUUGCCGAUAAGAUGGGGAUAACAUUUCAAUUACCUUGUCUUUGCAUUAUCUCUGCCGCAGUGUACAUAACAAUUACAUAUCCUGGAUGACUUGACAACAGCAGCUGGUUUCAUGUACAAACUGUAGUCACACAUUCAGAAAUGUCACUUUACAUGAUGCUACUUUUUCUUUGUUUUAAGCUACUCGCAAGACAUUUUCUGGAAAAUGAGUCAGAUGCACAUUAGUCAUCGUUUCUAAUUGAGUAGUACUUGUUAAAUGGUCCGAUUUUUUAUUUAGUCUGAUGUAAAUAAUUUCUUAAUGUCUUCAAAUGCAAUCCUUGCACAAGAACUCUGAAUGGAUUACUAUAAAUUAAUGCAAAAAUAAAACACAGGCAAGCAGUUUGUGAAGAGAACCAGGACUGCAACAAUCAAACUAUAUUACUGAAGCUCAUUAGUGUAACCUAGUUGUAUUUCUCUUUUGCUAUAGUUACACAAAAUGCACAUUACAUUAGCAGUCAUUUUUUUAAAGCCAGAUGGUUAAAAAAAUAAACAAGUAAAAGUAUUUAGUCAGGCCAGAUGCAUUACAUUGGAAUAAUUUGUAAGCCCCAAUGAUGUUUUCUGCACAGAUAAGCUGAAUUACUAUGAGUUGCAAUAUCUCUCUACUGGCAAAUAAUGUAAAUAUCUCAGGUGAUACAAGCUAUGAAGUUGCAAAUUAACUUCAUAACUUUAUGUCAGUUGAUAUUCUUGAUUCCUGUACAUUCUGUGAUGUUAUCAACCUAGUUGCACAUAAAAGACCAACUUUAAACUUUAUUUACUGGAAGUAUCUUCAUUUUUACUGUGCAGCUAUCAGAGAAAAAAAAUACACCACUGAACAAGUAGAAGUACACUGCAGAUACUGUUCAAGACAGAAUGAUUUCACAGUCAUAUUUUGUUGCCUGCUGAUAAAUUUAUGCAAUUUCAGGAAGAAGAGACAAAUCAGUUGGAUUAUUUUUUUUUUAAACACUGAUGCUAUUACCUGUAAUUUUUCUGAAAUUUUCUUCAAAUUCAAACUCCCUCAGCAAAAGUUUCACAGAUGACUCUUAGAAGCACCGCCAGAUGUUUUCUAUCAAAAACAGGUCGGUUGCCACUAAAUGAGCCCGGAUCGCCACUUUAACACUUUCCCUUCCCGGGCUGCACAUUUUCUCAAAGGCCAUGCCAGGAAUGCUGGCUAAUGACUUCCUCGUCAAGUCUUGCGGUUUCUCGUUGGAUGGUACAUGUGGAACCUUGUUUUUUUUAACGGAUUACUGCUUUCUUCUUUACGCACAAGUCAUCAACAGCUGCAGUGAACUUCCAGCUAAGCCCAGAUCUGCUCCCCUGGCAGGCGCCGCUAGUUUCCCCCUAUGUGACCCAGAGGUAGAAAAAGGUUGUACGAGACAAAUGGAGAAGCAGCAGGAGAUUGUACAACAGAUGGGAUGAUAGAAAAUUAGAUAAAACCUGCACAUAUUGUGUUUAAAAAAAAAAAA